UUUGAUGGCGACCGGCGCACGGGUGAGUAACACGUAUCCAACCUGCCGAUGACUCGGGGAUAGCCUUUCGAAAGAAAGAUUAAUACCCGAUGGCAUAGUUCUUCCGCAUGGUGGAACUACUAAAGAAUUUCGGUCAUCGAUGGGGAUGCGUUCCAUUAGGUUGUUGGCGGGGUAACGGCCCACCAAGCCUUCGAUGGAUAGGGGUUCUGAGAGGAAGGUCCCCCACAUUGGAACUGAGACACGGUCCAAACUCCUACGGGAGGCAGCAUG
Molecule: ribosomal RNA, 270 nt
Filed under: uncultured bacterium
Lineage: Bacteria
Description: partial 16S ribosomal RNA
Rfam family: Bacterial small subunit ribosomal RNA
Source: RNAcentral